This 391-nucleotide ribosomal RNA is filed under the name Bothrops alcatraz. RNAcentral's name for it is "partial large subunit ribosomal RNA". It matches the Rfam family "Bacterial large subunit ribosomal RNA", at positions 1962 to 2573 of the family's 2925-position model. Lineage: Eukaryota; Metazoa; Chordata; Lepidosauria; Squamata; Viperidae. The record is from RNAcentral. RNAcentral also lists the same sequence under 1 other name.
UAAUCAUUUGUCUAUUAAUUGUAGACCUGUAUGAAAGGCAAAAUGAGAGCCCAACUGUCUCUUAUAACAAAUCAAUUAAACUGAUCUCCUAGUACAAAAGCUAGAAUACCAACAUAAGACCAGAAGACCCUGUGAAGCUUUAACUAACCUAUUAAACCCAAUAAUAGCUACUUUAGGUUGGGGCGACCUUGGAAUAAAAAAGAACUUCCAAUCUAUGACUCCUCAUAAAUUAGGCAAACAAGCCAACACUAGACCCAGUAUAGCUGACAAUUGAAACAAGUUACUCCAGGGAUAACAGCGCUAUCUUCUUUAAGAGCCCAUAUCAAAAAGAAGGUUUACGACCUCGAUGUUGGAUCAGGACACCCCAGUAAUGCAACCGUUACUAAAGGUU